RNAcentral lists this ribosomal RNA (458 nucleotides) under uncultured bacterium. Its description in RNAcentral is "partial 16S ribosomal RNA". It matches the Rfam family "Bacterial small subunit ribosomal RNA", at positions 338 to 795 of the family's 1533-position model. The record is from RNAcentral.
CCUACGGGGGGCAGCAGUGAGGAAUAUUGGUCAAUGGGCGAGAGCCUGAACCAGCCAAGUCGCGUGAGGGAGUACUGCCCUAUGGGUUGUAAACCUCUUUUGUCGGGGAGCAAAAGCCGGACGUGUCCGGCUGUGAGAGUACCCGAAGAAAAAGCCUCGGCUAACCCCGUGCCAGCAGCCGCGGUAAUACGGAGGAUGCGAGCGUUAUCCGGAUUUAUUGGGUUUAAAGGGUGCGCAGGCGGAUUUUUAAGUCAGCGGUAAAAUCGUGGGGCUCAACCCCAUCCAGCCGUUGAAACUGGGGAUCUAGAGUGGGCGAGAGGUAUGCGGAAUGCGUGGUGUAGCGGUGAAAUGCAUAGAUAUCGCGCAGAACCCCGAUUGCGAAGGCAGCAUACCGGUGCACAACUGACGCUCAGGCACGAAAGCGUGGGUAUCGAACAGGAUUAGAUACCCGGGUAGUC